RNAcentral lists this long non-coding RNA (544 nucleotides) under Brassica napus (rape). RNAcentral describes it as "long non-coding RNA (BNAP_LNC017310)". Lineage: Eukaryota; Viridiplantae; Streptophyta; Magnoliopsida; Brassicales; Brassicaceae. The record is from RNAcentral.
UUGUUCUUUACUUGUCCUCAAGUGACUUUGCAAGAACUCAUAAGGGAAACAGGUUUGAAGGUGGGAACUCAUAUCUAAAAGUAACACUCCCUAGUACUCAACUUAACAUCCUAAAGAAACAUAGCAAAUAGCAUGAGCAACUCUCUUAUUAUACUCUAGCUUCUCUAGGCCUAUCAAUAUUCCAUGUGCCUCUACACAAGUUGCAAUACUCAUCAACCAACAAGUUCUUUAAACCAGCUCUCACAUUGAUUCACACACACACAUACACGGUGAAUUCUCACAAAUGGGCACAUGAUCUCAAUCAUUUGGCUAGGUAAGGAUGGUCUAAUAUGAAUGAAGAGAGAAAGGUUUAAAUGUCAUCAUUUCAAGGUGGUUAUCACUCAAAAACAAGGAGCUUGAUCAUUAUGCAAAAUUUAUCUAAGAUUAUGAGCAACUCAUGCAUACAUAGAUUCAUUCUCAUCAUACUGCCCCUUUUGUUAUAAUCACAAGUUCUACCCCUUUUUAUCAUCAUCUCAAAAUCAAAGCAAACCCCUCACAUCACUCA